UACGGAGGGUGCAAGCGUUAUCCGGAUUCACUGGGUUUAAAGGGUGCGUAGGUGGGCAGGUAAGUCAGUGGUGAAAUCCUUGAGCUUAACUCGAGAACUGCCAUUGAUACUAUCUGUCUUGAAUGUUGUGGAGGUGAGCGGAAUAUGUCAUGUAGCGGUGAAAUGCUUAGAUAUGACAUAGAACACCAAUUGCGAAGGCAGCUCGCUACACAAAUAUUGACACUGAGGCACGAAAGCGUGGGGAUCAAACAGG
This 253-nucleotide ribosomal RNA is filed under the name uncultured bacterium. RNAcentral's name for it is "partial 16S ribosomal RNA". It matches the Rfam family "Bacterial small subunit ribosomal RNA", at positions 524 to 776 of the family's 1533-position model. The record is from RNAcentral.